AGUGGGGAAUCUUGGACAAUGGGGGCAACCCUGAUCCAGCGAUGCCGCGUGAGCGAAGAAGGCCUUAGGGUUGUAAAGCUCUUUCGCCCACGACGAUGAUGACGGUAGUGGGAGAAGAAGCCCCGGCUAACUCCGUGCCAGCAGCCGCGGUAAUACGGAGGGGGCUAGCGUUGUCCGGAAUUACUGGGCGUAAAGCGCGCGUAGGCGGUCCACCAAGUCGGGGGUGAAAGCCCGGAGCUCAACUCCGGAAUUGCCUCCGAAACUGGUGGACUGGAGUUCGGGAGAGGAGAGCGGAAUUCCCAGUGUAGAGGUGAAAUUCGUAGAUAUUGGGAAGAACACCGGUGGCGAAGGCGGCUCUCUGGCCCGCAACUGACGCUGAGGCGCGAAAGCGUGGGGAGCAAA
RNAcentral lists this ribosomal RNA (402 nucleotides) under uncultured Defluviicoccus sp. Its description in RNAcentral is "bacterial SSU rRNA". It matches the Rfam family "Bacterial small subunit ribosomal RNA", at positions 353 to 772 of the family's 1533-position model. The record is from RNAcentral. Lineage: Bacteria; Pseudomonadati; Pseudomonadota; Alphaproteobacteria; Rhodospirillales; Rhodospirillaceae.